This 523-nucleotide ribosomal RNA is filed under the name uncultured Microbacteriaceae bacterium. Its description in RNAcentral is "bacterial SSU rRNA". It matches the Rfam family "Bacterial small subunit ribosomal RNA", at positions 96 to 633 of the family's 1533-position model. The record is from RNAcentral. Lineage: Bacteria; Bacillati; Actinomycetota; Actinomycetes; Micrococcales; Microbacteriaceae.
UGGCGAACGGGUGAGUAACACGUGAGUAACCUGCCCUUGACUCUGGGAUAAGCACUGGAAACGGUGUCUAAUACCGGAUACGAGCCUCCUCCGCAUGGUGAGGGGCUGGAAAGAAUUUCGGUCAAGGAUGGACUCGCGGCCUAUCAGCUAGUUGGUGAGGUAACGGCCCACCAAGGCGACGACGGGUAGCCGGCCUGAGAGGGUGACCGGCCACACUGGGACUGAGACACGGCCCAGACUCCUACGGGAGGCAGCAGUGGGGAAUAUUGCACAAUGGGCGCAAGCCUGAUGCAGCAACGCCGCGUGAGGGACGACGGCCUUCGGGUUGUAAACCUCUUUUAGUAGGGAAGAAGCGAAAGUGACGGUACCUGCAGAAAAAGCACCGGCUAACUACGUGCCAGCAGCCGCGGUAAUACGUAGGGUGCAAGCGUUGUCCGGAAUUAUUGGGCGUAAAGAGCUCGUAGGCGGUUUGUCGCGUCUGCUGUGAAAACCCGAGGCUCAACCUCGGGCCUGCAGUGGGUAC